UUCUUUUUAUAUUAUUAUUUUUCUUUGAAGAGAAGAUACUUAAUUAAUAAUUAUAAUUACAGGCUAAUAAGACAAAGUGGAACUAAUUUGGCAAGGACGAAUUAGAUGAAGCCAAGUGGGGAAUAAUAAAGGAGCGUAAGAUUUUCUUUUUAUGUACAAAUAUCUUGUGUUUUCUUGGUACAAAGAUGGUAAGAAUUUAUUGUUGGGUGAACAUAUAUAUCUGUUAUCGAAUGUCAAUCCAUGCCUCCAAUAAAUCUCUUACCCCACAACCCAUCCAAGUGGAAAAUAAUCCCCUUCCUUCUUUUUUAUACGAAAUAACAAAGCCACUGCAAACUCACACAUAUAAAAUAAAGGUAUUGUAAUUCGAAUUUAUUCAUGACAUUCAGUCUAAUAAUUUUGAUAUUGUUACUAGUUUAGUUAGGGUUUAGGGGACUCCUUCUUCCUUUCCAUCUGUUCAUUUAAAAUUUAUGUUCACC
RNAcentral lists this long non-coding RNA (476 nucleotides) under Medicago truncatula (barrel medic). RNAcentral's name for it is "long non-coding RNA (MTRU_LNC003241)". Lineage: Eukaryota; Viridiplantae; Streptophyta; Magnoliopsida; Fabales; Fabaceae. The record is from RNAcentral.